GAUGAAGAACGCAGCGAAAUUCGAUAAGUAAUGUGAAUUGCAGAAUUCAGUGAAUCAUCGAAUCUUUGAACGCACAUUGCGCCCCUUGGUAUUCCGAGGGGCAUGCCUGUUCGAGCGUCAUUAUAACCCUCAAGCUCAGCUUGGUGUUGGGGCCUGCUGCACUGGCAGCCCUUAAAAUCAGUGGCGGCGCCAUCUGGCUCUAAGCGUAGUAAUUCUUCUCGCUAUGGAGUCCUGGUGGAUGCUUGCCAUCAACCCCCAAUUUUUCUAUGGUUGACCUCGGAUCAGGUAGGGAUACCCGCUGAACUUAAGCAUAUCAAUAAGCGGAGGA
This 328-nucleotide unclassified non-coding RNA is filed under the name soil metagenome. Its description in RNAcentral is "partial contains 5.8S ribosomal RNA, internal transcribed spacer 2, and large subunit ribosomal RNA". The stretch from base 1 to 120 matches the Rfam family "5.8S ribosomal RNA", at positions 35 to 154 of the family's 154-position model. The record is from RNAcentral.